CGUAUAAAAUAAAAAUAUCAAUAUCUUAAUAAAUACUUCUUGCUUUUUCAUAAUACAUGACCCAUGGCACCUUCUAUUGCAAAGCUGUCUUGAAAUGUAUUCAAUUUGGUUGUCACUUGCAAUGCUUUGCAGCAGCAAUGUGCACAAUACACUUGCAGGACUGCACAGCUGCAGGUCUAACAAAACAAUAACAUGACAUUUGUUGUACAUGUACAGAUAGUUGAACGUCAUGGGUACAACUAUUUGUUUUGUUCCUAGGGAUUAUAUGCGUCUUUUUUCUAUAAUUGUAUGUUUUUCACCUCUUAGGCAUGUCCGCCAGGCGAAAUCGGUGGGCUGCCAUUCCUAUGAUUCCGGUAUUGAAAACUAUUGAAUAUUUCUGUAGUCUGUUGUCUCUAGUGCCCGAUUUACACAAAGAAAUUAUACAGAAAUAUCUCUUAAAACAUGUCCAUGUGUUGAAAGUAUCGAUCGGUAUAUUUAAUAUUGUGUUUUUAUAAAAGUUACAUAGAUGUUUACAUCGUAUCAUGGAAUGCUCCUUCUUGGAUUUUACAAUGGACCUGAUAAAUUAAUACGCGCCCAGUUUUAGCAGUUCCGAUUGAAAUAAACUCCUGUUAUUUCUUUUGAAGAUUUCAAAGUUAGAGAGGAAAUGCUUCUAAUGACAGAGGUUUUGUCCAUGUUGGUUUGUCUCAACAGUUAAUCUUUUGGAAAACAGUGUCAUCUUAACAAAAGAAUCUAUGGAGCUUUUCUGAUCAAAGGGUCUCUUGUGUCUGUUAACUCUGUUUAUCUGUCAUCCAUGAAAAUUAAACUCUAAAAUAGGGUAUCAAAUGGGAAUAUGUAGUAAAGAAAUUGUCUUUUAACGAGCCACAGGGUAAUGUUUUACUCAUAAUUCAGUGUGAGCAUUCUCAAAUGGUGAACAUUCAAGUUGGUCUAAAUCAUGAACCAGACCUAAUACAAUGUAUUAACAAUAUUAAAAUAUUCCCUAUUUGUAUUUUCAUUUUUUUUUCUUCUUCUGGGAUCAGAUUUUAUAUAACUGGUCAAUGUAUGUAUACAUACAUGGGGGGGGGGGGGGACAUUUUUCUUUAGAAUUAGCCUUGUUAGCCAUAUUGAUAAUGAAAUAUCCUCAUGUCGCGGAAUCAAUUUUGGAUUAGAUGUGGCCUUAUGACCCCUUGGUGGGGCCAAAAUAUUGGCUCAUAUUUGUUUUUCACGAGAAUUAAGGGGGAUAAGAAUGUCUUAGAAAUGUGAAGAACACCAGGACUCAAGUAAAUAUUGUGGGCCAAGUGUCAUUCAAAUUGCACACUUUCAUUACACAACAGAUUUUUAAUCUCUUAUUAGCAUAUUUGUUAAGGAGAAAAAUAAUAUUCUAACAUUAAUUUCCCUCUUUUGUACACACCAUUGUAAUGUAAUCCUUUUAAUAAAUUUGGGCUUUCAUAUAAAGUGCUAUUUAUAGAACAACAGUGAGUCUCUUUAAUUCUAUUUUUAACACAUUGCCAUGUGGUUGGCACUACUUUAAUGGCUAACAUUUUCUUGUUGACCUGAUGGUAUGCAUUUAAAGAAUUGUACCUGUUGCAGUGAGUUUACAUUUAAAACAAUGGUUCUUAACAAAUAGUUGUAGCCACUUUGCUUAUUUAUCUAUUUCAUAUUUUUUUGGAUUUUUUAAUGCACUACUAAAACCUGUGGCUGCGCAGUCCUGCAGGUGUAUUGUGCACUUCAUAGCUGCAAACUACUGCAUGUGUCAAUAUAGCUGCAUAUACCCAAAGAUAGUUUUCAUUAUGAAGAUAAAAUGGGCCAGUUUUCAAGUGUUUGCAAGGCUUAUUUUUAAAGAUAUUUAGGUUUUUAUUUUCAGUGAGUUUCACUUGGCUGCACACAAAAGCAAAC
Long non-coding RNA from Saccostrea cuccullata (small rock oyster), 1872 nucleotides. RefSeq lists it as uncharacterized. NCBI's taxonomy places the organism in Eukaryota, Metazoa, Mollusca, Bivalvia, Ostreida, Ostreidae. The record is from RefSeq and is a predicted model, not a curated record. The transcript is spliced from 3 exons.